AAGGCUGAGGCGUGAUGACGAGGCACUACGGUGCUGAAGCAACAAAUGCCCUGCUUCCAGGAAAAGCCUCUAAGCAUCAGGUAACAUCAAAUCGUACCCCAAACCGACACAGGUGGUCAGGUAGAGAAUACCAAGGCGCUUGAGAGAACUCGGGUGAAGGAACUAGGCAAAAUGGUGCCGUAACUUCGGGAGAAGGCACGCUGAUAUGUAGGUGAAGUCCCUCGCGGAUGGAGCUGAAAUCAGUCGAAGAUACCAGCUGGCUGCAACUGUUUAUUAAAAACACAGCACUGUGCAAACACGAAAGUGGACGUAUACGGUGUGACGCCUGCCCGGUGCCGGAAGGUUAAUUGAUGGGGUCAGCGCAAGCGAAGCUCUUGAUCGAAGCCCCGGUAAACGGCGGCCGUAACUAUAACGGUCCUAAGGUAGCGAAAUUCCUUGUCGGGUAAGUUCCGACCUGCACGAAUGGCGUAAUGAUGGCCAGGCUGUCUCCACCCGAGACUCAGUGAAAUUGAACUCGCUGUGAAGAUGCAGUGUACCCGCGGCAAGACGGAAAGACCCCGUGAACCUUUACUAUAGCUUGACACUGAACAUUGAGCCUUGAUGUGUAGGAUAGGUGGGAGGCUUUGAAGUGUGGACGCCAGUCUGCAUGGAGCCGACCUUGAAAUACCACCCUUUAAUGUUUGAUGUUCUAACGUUGACCCGUAAUCCGGGUUGCGGACAGUGUCUGGUGGGUAGUUUGACUGGGGCGGUCUCCUCCUAAAGAGUAACGGAGGAGCACGAAGGUUGGCUAAUCCUGGUCGGACAUCAGGAGGUUAGUGCAAUGGCAUAAGCCAGCUUGACUGCGAGCGUGACGGCGCGAGCAGGUGCGAAAGCAGGUCAUAGUGAUCCGGUGGUUCUGAAUGGAAGGGCCAUCGCUCAACGGAUAAAAGGUACUCCGGGGAUAACAGGCUGAUACCGCCCAAGAGUUCAUAUCGACGGCGGUGUUUGGCACCUCGAUGUCGGCUCAUCACAUCCUGGGGCUGAAGUAGGUCCCAAGGGUAUGGCUGUUCGCCAUUUAAAGUGGUACGCGAGCUGGGUUUAGAACGUCGUGAGACAGUUCGGUCCCUAUCUGCCGUGGGCGCUGGAGAACUGAGGGGGGCUGCUCCUAGUACGAGAGGACCGGAGUGGACGCAUCACUGGUGUUCGGGUUGUCAUGCCAAUGGCACUGCCCGGUAGCUAAAUGCGGAAGAGAUAAGUGCUGAAAGCAUCUAAGCACGAAACUUGCCCCGAGAUGAGUUCUCCCUGACUCCUUGAGAGUCCUGAAGGAACGUUGAAGACGACGACGUUGAUAGGCCGGGUGUGUAAGCGCAGCGAUGCGUUGAGCUAACCGGUACUAAUGAACCGUGAGGCUUAACCUU
RNAcentral lists this ribosomal RNA (1397 nucleotides) under Escherichia coli. RNAcentral describes it as "partial 23S ribosomal RNA". It matches the Rfam family "Bacterial large subunit ribosomal RNA", at positions 1552 to 2925 of the family's 2925-position model. The record is from RNAcentral. Lineage: Bacteria; Pseudomonadati; Pseudomonadota; Gammaproteobacteria; Enterobacterales; Enterobacteriaceae.